ACUGAAAUACCUGCUCCCAUAUGAUCACCAAAGUUAAGCAAUGUUGAGCCAGGACAGUACCUAGAUGGGUGACAACUUUGGAAUACCAGCUGCUGUAAG
Non-coding RNA from Acanthosepion pharaonis, 99 nucleotides. The record is from the annotation of a GenBank genome assembly. Lineage: Eukaryota; Metazoa; Mollusca; Cephalopoda; Sepiida; Sepiidae.